RNAcentral lists this transfer RNA (88 nucleotides) under Bacillota bacterium. RNAcentral describes it as "tRNA-Leu". It matches the Rfam family "tRNA". Rfam says of the family: Transfer RNA (tRNA) molecules are approximately 80 nucleotides in length. Their secondary structure includes four short double-helical elements and three loops (D, anti-codon, and T loops). Lineage: Bacteria; Bacillati; Bacillota. The record is from RNAcentral.
GCGGUGGUGGCGGAAUUGGCAGACGCGCUAGAUUCAGGUUCUAGUGGGCGCUAAGCCCGUGGAGGUUCAAGUCCUCUUCACCGCACCA